This 26-nucleotide non-coding RNA is filed under the name Mus musculus (house mouse). Lineage: Eukaryota; Metazoa; Chordata; Mammalia; Rodentia; Muridae. The record is from RNAcentral.
UGGAACAACUAGUGGAUGAAGGUUUG